Molecule: ribosomal RNA, 271 nt
Filed under: uncultured Cryomonadida
Lineage: Eukaryota; Cercozoa; Thecofilosea
Description: partial 18S ribosomal RNA
Rfam family: Eukaryotic small subunit ribosomal RNA (bases 68-271)
Source: RNAcentral
GAUUGCGGUAAUGCACCUGGCGCGCGUUUACCAUCCUUUUAGAAAACGUUUCUCUUGGUGGGAUCCGAUCUAGAUCUUUUACUUUGGAAAAAAUAGAGUGUUUAAAGCAGGCUUUUGCUAUGAAUACAUUAGCAUGGAAUAAUAAUCUAGGACUUCGGUUCUAGGUUUCUAUUCCUGAAGUAGAUUGAGAGGGAUAGUUGGGGGUGCUAGUCUUGGCCGGCCAGAGGUGAAAUUCUUGGAUUCGGUCAAGACUAACUUAUGCGAAAGCAUU